RNAcentral lists this ribosomal RNA (940 nucleotides) under Leuconostoc mesenteroides. RNAcentral describes it as "bacterial SSU rRNA". It matches the Rfam family "Bacterial small subunit ribosomal RNA", at positions 97 to 1026 of the family's 1533-position model. Lineage: Bacteria; Bacillati; Bacillota; Bacilli; Lactobacillales; Lactobacillaceae. The record is from RNAcentral.
GUCGUAACAAGGAAUCCGUAUGGACAACCUGCCUCAAGGCUGGGGAUAACAUUUGGAAACAGAUGCUAAUACCGAAUAAAACUUAGUGUCGCAUGACACAAAGUUAAAAGGCGCUUCGGCGUCACCUAGAGAUGGAUCCGCGGUGCAUUAGUUAGUUGGUGGGGUAAAGGCCUACCAAGACAAUGAUGCAUAGCCGAGUUGAGAGACUGAUCGGCCACAUUGGGACUGAGACACGGCCCAAACUCCUACGGGAGGCUGCAGUAGGGAAUCUUCCACAAUGGGCGAAAGCCUGAUGGAGCAACGCCGCGUGUGUGAUGAAGGCUUUCGGGUCGUAAAGCACUGUUGUAUGGGAAGAACAGCUAGAAUAGGAAAUGAUUUUAGUUUGACGGUACCAUACCAGAAAGGGACGGCUAAAUACGUGCCAGCAGCCGCGGUAAUACGUAUGUCCCGAGCGUUAUCCGGAUUUAUUGGGCGUAAAGCGAGCGCAGACGGUUUAUUAAGUCUGAUGUGAAAGCCCGGAGCUCAACUCCGGAAUGGCAUUGGAAACUGGUUAACUUGAGUGCAGUAGAGGUAAGUGGAACUCCAUGUGUAGCGGUGGAAUGCGUAGAUAUAUGGAAGAACACCAGUGGCGAAGGCGGCUUACUGGACUGCAACUGACGUUGAGGCUCGAAAGUGUGGGUAGCAAACAGGAUUAGAUACCCUGGUAGUCCACACCGUAAACGAUGAACACUAGGUGUUAGGAGGUUUCCGCCUCUUAGUGCCGAAGCUAACGCAUUAAGUGUUCCGCCUGGGGAGUACAACCGCAAGGUUGAAACUCAAAGGAAUUGACGGGGACCCGCACAAGCGGUGGAGCAUGUGGUUUAAUUCGAAGCAACGCGAAAACCUUACCAGGUCUUGGCGUCGUUUGAAGCUUUUAAAAUAAAAGUGUUCUCUUCGGAGA